This is a long non-coding RNA of Hippopotamus amphibius kiboko, 1127 nucleotides long. RefSeq lists it as uncharacterized. NCBI's taxonomy places the organism in Eukaryota, Metazoa, Chordata, Mammalia, Artiodactyla, Hippopotamidae. The transcript has 3 exons. The record is from RefSeq and is a predicted model, not a curated record.
UUAACUCAGCAGGUUGGUCGAGGUUUUGCAGGGCUUGCAUCAUGGUUUUGCUUCUCCCUCUGCCUUUCCCUUCACAGGUAACAGCUUGCACUCUGAGCUUCAUCUCAACAUCUGCUUCUGGAGGACUCCGCCUCUGAUUUAUGAGAAAUGAAGUCUUGCCACCCGAAUUACUGAAGACUACAUAAAUCAUUAAUGGAAGAAGGAGGACUUGAGUCCAGAAAUGUCUUAUUCCAAAACCUUUUGUGGGCAGCAAGGAAAAGAUAUACAUAUACACAUAGGAAUGGAUGAGUUUGUUUCUAAGAAAGAAGCUAGAAAGGAUGAAGUCAUGAAGAGUAAGAAAGAAUGAGGCACGUAGAAAAGGUCGCCUUAGCAUCAUGCUGUCUGUUUAAAUAUUGAAAAGACAAAGUCAGCAUGACUCCACACACGUACACACACAUACAUACAGCCAAUCACUAAAAAGAACUGUAGUUACUGGGUGAAUAUAGGAAGGAAUGAACGAGUAACCUUGGCAUAUACAUAUACAUAUAAAAAAGGACAAAUCAAUAUAUGUUAAACAAAACUUCGCAUUGUGGUAUUUUCCUGUGGCUAUUACAGAAAGUUACCAUAACUUUGGUAACUUAAAAUAACACAGAUUCAUUCUCUCACGGUUCUAGAGCCUAGAGGUCUGAAAUCAAUGUGUGGGCAGGACUGUACUCCUUCCAGAGGUUUGGGGAGAAUCCAUUUCUUGAGUCUUCUAGCUUCUGGUGGCUGCCAGCAUUCAUUAGCAUUCUUUGGGUUAUGGCUACAUCCCUUCAAUCUCUGCUUCUGUCUUCACAUCAUGUUCUCUGUAUGUCAAAUCUCCCUCUCCCUCUCUCGUAUAAGGAUACAUGUAAGAGCAUUUAGAGCUCACCCAGAAAAUCUAAAAUAAUUUCCCAGGCCAGGAAAGGAGAGGACACAGAUAAGGAGAAAAGAAAUAUCCAAUUUUCUGGCAAUAUAUACACCAGGCUCAAAUGAAAUGGCCUUUAGAACUUUCUAGAAUUCUGUGGCUAAGGAAAUCCUGGUCUUCAAGGUUCUAGCUCCAUCAUAAAUGUGCUUACCACUACCUUUUCUCUAGACUUCUCAAAUUCACCUUUCAUCAUUUUUAUGCU